UGAGCGUCAGGGUCUGAUGAUUGUAGGCUACCUCCGCUCAUUGCGGACUGAACUCAGAUCCGAACGCAGCCCAGUUCUCUGGGUCCCCCCCCCUUCCCUCUUCUCUAAGCCAGCUGGCCUGGCUUAAUAGCACUGCUUUCUUUCUUUCUUUCUUUCUUUCUUUCUUUCUUUCUUUCACUUUCCUUUUUUCAUCUUUUUUAAAAAAAAAAAAGAGAUCUUGUCUUGUUUGAUACAAGGGAUUGGCUGAUCCAAACCCCACAGCUGGAGCUGCUGGGGGAGCUUCCAGGUGAAGACCAGAACAAAAAGCACUGGUGCUUUUCGCUGACGUGCCUGCGAAGCGCGUGCUGCUCCAGGACAGGAGACUCCCGGAUGGACUGAACCGCUGGACGGAGACACGCGAGUAGGAAAGUGACGCAGAGGCACACGCGAGGCUGAGCGAGAGAGGUAAGCGUUUAUCCCUCCGUGGGUUGCGUGUGCGCGCGUGCGUGUGUGUGUGUGUGUGUGUGUGAUGCGGGUUUGACACGCCAUAUACAACAGGAAACAAACAGAAGCGGGAUAAUCCCUCUCAAGUCUGCGCGCGGAGCCUUUCACUUCUCCUCACAUCCGAUAAAGAAGUCUCGAGAAGCUCUCCGUUUCUUCACAACUUUAUCCUCCGUGUCAGCAUUAACCCGUUUUCCUCAGAGCCCCUCUUUUCUCUCAGCUAUAGCUUUGCUUUUGCGGUUAGGGAUUUUUAAGUCUUUUUAAGCCCGGAGCUGGAGCUCUGUUAGCGGGCGUUGUGCGGACUCGGAGCCGCGGACCGGUCGACUUCUCCCCCGGCAGAGAGUGGUGAAAACAGUCGGGCCGCCUCCUGAAAAGUGUGCGCGUCCUUUUCUCUUUCUUCACCUGCUGUGAUGACGGAGG
Perca fluviatilis (European perch) is the source of this 900-nucleotide long non-coding RNA. RefSeq lists it as uncharacterized. The record is from RefSeq and is a predicted model, not a curated record. Lineage: Eukaryota; Metazoa; Chordata; Actinopteri; Perciformes; Percidae. The transcript is spliced from 3 exons.